CACAUUCUGAGAUUCUUCACAAUUCUGAUCGUGACCCCAGGACCUGAGUUGAUGAGCCCAAACGCAAUAGCCAACUUCUCGCUGUGCCGGUAAACUGCAUUCUCUUUAUCCUCCUCUGCUAUAUCAAGGAAAACCUCUGAAGUAUUAGGUGAGUACCCCGCAAUUUUCAAGUCACUUGUCAUUUUGUUUAACUUCCCAUAUAUUUCUUUUGUUUGAGGAUGUGACUGGUCACCAGCAACAAAUUCAUGGACAAUACCAUUCAUCUCAAUCAAGCUGCAACCUGGGGUUUUCUUGAUUCCUCUAUCCAUCAUCACUUGUCGCAAUUCACGCAAUUUAUCCCAUUUAUUGCAAGCUGCAUAUAUAUUACACUGCAGAACAUAAACAGCUCCAUUAUUGGGUUCUAACUCAAGAAUCUGCUCUAUGGCCCUUUCAGCCAUUUCUGCAUCUUUAUGAAUUCUACAGGCACCCAGAAGAGCUCCCCAGACAAUUGAAUUAGGUUUCAUUGGCAUGUUCUUAAUAAUUUCAUGAGCUUCUUUUAGAUGCCCAGCUUUGCCAAGAAGAUCAACCAUGCACCCAUAAUGU
This 582-nucleotide long non-coding RNA is filed under the name Populus trichocarpa (black cottonwood). RNAcentral's name for it is "long non-coding RNA (PTRI_LNC000863)". Lineage: Eukaryota; Viridiplantae; Streptophyta; Magnoliopsida; Malpighiales; Salicaceae. The record is from RNAcentral.